UACAGAGGGGGCAAGCGUUGUUCGGAAUUACUGGGCGUAAAGGGCGCGUAGGCGGCCUGUUAAGUCGAACGUGAAAUCCCCGGGCUCAACCCGGGAACUGCGUCCGAUACUGGCAGGCUUGAAUCCGGGAGAGGGAUGUGGAAUUCCAGGUGUAGCGGUGAAAUGCGUAGAUAUCAGGAGGAACACCGGUGGCGAAGGCGGAUCUCUGGGCCAUUACUGACGCUGAGGAGCGAAAGCGUGGGGAGCGAACAGG
RNAcentral lists this ribosomal RNA (253 nucleotides) under uncultured bacterium. RNAcentral describes it as "partial 16S ribosomal RNA". It matches the Rfam family "Bacterial small subunit ribosomal RNA", at positions 524 to 776 of the family's 1533-position model. The record is from RNAcentral.